GACGAACGCUGGCGGCGUGCUUAACACAUGCAAGUCGAACGGAGUUAAGGAGCUUGCUUCUUAACUUAGUGGCGAACGGGUGAGUAACGCGUGAGGAACCUGCCUUUCAGUGGGGGACAACAGUUGGAAACGACUGCUAAUACCGCAUAAUGUAUCCGGAGGGCAUCCUUUGGAUACCAAAGCUUUAUGUGCUGAGAGAUGGUCUCGCGUCUGAUUAGCUAGAUGGCGGGUAACGGCCCACCAUGGCGACGAUCAGUAGCCGGUCUGAGAGGAUGAACGGCCACAUUGGGACUGAGAUACGGCCCAGACUCCUACGGGAGGCAGCAGUGGGGAAUAUUGGGCAAUGGGGGAAACCCUGACCCAGCAACGCCGCGUGAAGGGAAGAAGAUCUUCGGAUUGUAAACCUUAGUCAACAGGGAAGAAGAAAGUGACGGUACCUGUGGAGGAAGCCACGGCUAACUACGUG
RNAcentral lists this ribosomal RNA (466 nucleotides) under uncultured bacterium. RNAcentral describes it as "bacterial SSU rRNA". It matches the Rfam family "Bacterial small subunit ribosomal RNA", at positions 28 to 507 of the family's 1533-position model. The record is from RNAcentral.